CAAAAAACCGUGCGGCAAUGGGAAGACGUGAUGCGGAGUGAAGUUUAGUAAUGAAGUCCGUGAGCUGUGCGUCAAGAAAAGCCGCUAUUGUUCAUACCAUACCCGUACCGUAAACCGACACAGGUGGAUGAGGAGAGAAUCCUAAGGCCGGCGGAAGAAGCAUUGUCAAGGAACUCGGCAAAAUGACCCCGUAACUUCGGGAGAAGGGGUGCCUGCGAGAGCAGGCCGCAGAGAAUAGGCUCAAGCAACUGUUUAGCAAAAACACAGGUCUAUGCGAAACCGAAAGGUGAGGUAUAUGGGCUGACGCCUGCCCGGUGCUGGAAGGUUAAGAGGAGAGGUUAGCGCAAGCGAAGCUUUGAAUUUAAGCCCCAGUAAACGGCGGCCGUAACAAUAACGGUCCUAAGGUAGCGAAAUUCCUUGUCGGGUAAGUUCCGACCCGCACGAAAGGCGUAAUGAUUUGAGCGCUGUCUCGACAAUGCAUCCGGUGAAAUUGAAGUACCAGUGAAGAUGCUGGUUACCUGCGCCAGGACGGAAAGACCCCAUGGAGCUUUACUCCAGUUUGGUACUGGGAUCCGGUACUGCAUGUACAGGAUAGGUGGGAGGCUAUGAAUCGGUAACGCCAGUUGCCGAGGAGCCGCUGUUGGGAUACCACCCUUGCAGUAUUGGGCUUCUAACCAGCCGCCGUGACCCGGCGGUGGGACAAUGCCAGACGGGGAGUUUGACUGGGGCGGUCGCCUCCGAAAGGGUAUCGGAGGCGCCCAAAGGUUCCCUCAGGAUGGACGGAAACCAUCCAAAGAGUGCAAAGGCAGAAGGGAGCUUGACUGCGACACCGACGGGUGGAGCAGGUACGAAAGUAGGGCUUAGUGAUCCGGUGGUAUUAAGUGGGAAUGCCAUCGCUCAACGGAUAAAAGCUACCCUGGGAUAACAGGCUUAUCACUCCCAAGAGUUCACAUCGACGGAGUGGUUUGGCACCUCGAUGUCGGCUCAUCGCAUCCUGGGGCUGUAGUAGGUCCCAAGGGUUGGGCUGUUCGCCCAUUAAAGCGGUACGCGAGCUGGGUUCAGAACGUCGUGAGACAGUUCGGUCCCUAUCCGGCGUGGGCGUAGGAUAUCUGAGAGGAGCUGUCCUUAGUACGAGAGGACCGGGAUGGACGGGCCGCUGGUGCACCGGUUAGACUGCCAAGUCUAUAGCCGGGUAGCCAAGCCCGGAAGGGAUAAACGCUGAAGGCAUCUAAGCGUGAAGCCCCCCUCAAGAUGAGAUAUCCCAUCCGAAAGGAGUAAACCCCCUUGAAGACGACGAGGUCGAUAGGGCAGGGGUGGAAGUGUGGUAACACAUGGAGCUGACUGCUACUAAUAGGGUGAGGGCUUGACCG
Molecule: ribosomal RNA, 1370 nt
Filed under: metagenome
Description: bacterial LSU rRNA
Rfam family: Bacterial large subunit ribosomal RNA
Source: RNAcentral